Molecule: ribosomal RNA, 253 nt
Filed under: uncultured bacterium
Lineage: Bacteria
Description: partial 16S ribosomal RNA
Rfam family: Bacterial small subunit ribosomal RNA
Source: RNAcentral
GACGGAGGGGGCAAGCGUUGUUCGGAAUUACUGGGCGUAAAGCGCGCGUAGGCGGCUUGCAAAGUCUGGCGUGAAAGCCCGGGGCUCACCCCGGGAAGUGCAUUUGAAACUGGCGAGCUCGAGUCCCGGAGAGGAGGGUGGAAUUUCCGGUGUAGAGGUGAAAUGGGUAGAUAUCAGGAGGAACACCGGUGGCGAAGGCGGCCCUCUGGACGGUGACUGACGCUGAGGCGCGAAAGCGUGGGGAGCAAACAGG